AGCAGCCGCGGUAAUUCCAGCUCCAAUAGCGUAUAUUAAAGUUGUUGCAGUUAAAAAGCUCGUAGUUGAAUUUCGGGAUUGACGUGAUGGUCAUGCCUUAAGGGGUAUGAACUGUCACUGUUGAUUUCUCACCUUCUGGAGAAACUUGAUGUCCUUUAUUGGGUGUCUUGCGGAUCCAGGACCUUUACCUUGAAAAAAUUAGAGUGUUUAAAGCAGGCAUUUUUGCUCGAAUACAUUAGCAUGGAAUAAUAGAAUAGGACGGCAUGGUUCUAUUUUGUUGGUUUCUAGGAUCACCGUAAUGAUUAAUAGGGAUAGUUGGGGGCAUUAGUAUUCAAUUGUCAGAGGUGAAAUUCUUGGAUUUAUUGAAGACUAACUACUGCGAAAGCAUUUGCCAAGGAUGUUUUCAUUAAUCAAGAACGAAAGUUAGGGGAUCGAAGACGAUCAGAUACCGUCGUAGUCUUAACCAUAAACUAUGCCGACUAGGAAUCAGACGAUGUUAAUUUUUUAAUGACUCGUUUGGCACCUUACG
Molecule: ribosomal RNA, 529 nt
Filed under: uncultured Entrophosporaceae
Lineage: Eukaryota; Fungi; Glomeromycota; Glomeromycetes; Entrophosporales; Entrophosporaceae
Description: SSU rRNA
Rfam family: Eukaryotic small subunit ribosomal RNA
Source: RNAcentral